RNAcentral lists this microRNA precursor (76 nucleotides) under Myotis lucifugus (little brown bat). Its description in RNAcentral is "mir-9229 microRNA precursor family". It matches the Rfam family "mir-9229 microRNA precursor family". Lineage: Eukaryota; Metazoa; Chordata; Mammalia; Chiroptera; Vespertilionidae. The record is from Rfam by way of RNAcentral.
GAGACAACCUUAUGGGGCAAGAUUUGUUUCAGUGGGGCUUUGGUGCUCACUGAGUCUGCCCCCUGAGUGUGUCCCU